Molecule: ribosomal RNA, 1813 nt
Filed under: Eulimnadia texana
Lineage: Eukaryota; Metazoa; Arthropoda; Branchiopoda; Diplostraca; Limnadiidae
Description: SSU rRNA
Rfam family: Eukaryotic small subunit ribosomal RNA
Source: RNAcentral
CCUGGUUGAUCCUGCCAGUAGCAUAUGCUUGUCUCAAAGAUUAAGCCAUGCAUGUCUAAGUACAAGCCGCUAUGCGGCGAAACCGCGAAUGGCUCAUUAAAUCAGUUAUGGUUCCUUAGAUCGUACCAUCCUACUUGGAUAACUGUGGUAAUUCUAGAGCUAAUACAUGCAAAGAAGCCCCGACCUCACGGGAGGGGUGCUUUUAUUAGAUCAAAACCAAUCGGGCUUCGGCCCGUCCACUUGGUGACUCUGAAUAACUUUGAGCUGAUCGCACGGUCUCGAACCGGCGACGCAUCUUUCAAAUGUCUGCCUUAUCAACUGUCGAUGGUAGGUUAUGCGCCUACCAUGGUUGCAACGGGUAACGGGGAAUCAGGGUUCGAUUCCGGAGAGGGAGCCUGAGAAACGGCUACCACAUCCAAGGAAGGCAGCAGGCGCGCAAAUUACCCACUCCCGGCACGGGGAGGUAGUGACGAAAAAUAACGAUACGGGACUCUUCCGAGGCCCCGUGAUUGGAAUGAGUACACUUUAAAUCCUUUAACGAGGACCUAUUGGAGGGCAAGUCUGGUGCCAGCAGCCGCGGUAACUCCAGCUCCAAUAGCGUAUAUUAAAGUUGUUGCGGUUAAAAAGCUCGUAGUUGGAUUCCGGUCUCGGCCGGGUGGUGCCGCCUUUCACGGUGUUCGCACUGCCCAGGCCGGACAAUCAACCGGACUCUAUCCGGGGUGCUCUUAACCGGGUGUCCCGGGUGGCCGGUACGUUUACUUUGAACAAAUUAGAGUGCUCAAAGCAGGUGCAUCGCGCCUGAAUAUCACAGCAUGGAAUGAUGGAAUAGGACCUCGGUCUUAUUUUGUUGGUUUUCUGGACCCGAGGUAAUGGUUAAUAGAGACAGACGGGGGCAUUCGUACUGCGACGCUAGAGGUGAAAUUCUUGGACCGUCGCAAGACGAACAACUGCGAAAGCAUUUGCCAAGAAUGUUUUCAUUAAUCAAGAACGAAAGUUAGAGGUUCGAAGGCGAUCAGAUACCGCCCUAGUUCUAACCAUAAACGAUGCCAACCAGCGAUCCGCCGAAGUUACUCCCAUGACUCGGCGGGCAGCUUCCGGGAAACCAAAGUUUUUGGGUUCCGGGGGAAGUAUGGUUGCAAAGCUGAAACUUAAAGGAAUUGACGGAAGGGCACCACCAGGAGUGGAGCCUGCGGCUUAAUUUGACUCAACACGGGAAACCUCACCAGGCCCGGACACUGGAAGGAUUGACAGAUUGAGAGCUCUUUCUUGAUUCGGUGGGUGGUGGUGCAUGGCCGUUCUUAGUUGGUGGAGCGAUUUGUCUGGUUAAUUCCGAUAACGAACGAGACUCUAGCCUGCUAAAUAGGUGGCGGGUCCUACCCGUCCGUCACUCUUCUUAGAGGGACAAGCGGCGUCCAGCCGCAUGACAGUGAGCAAUAACAGGUCUGUGAUGCCCUUAGAUGUCCUGGGCUGCACGCGCGCUACACUGAAGGAAUCAGCGUGUCUUCCCUGUCCGAGAGGACCGGGUAACCGCUGAACCUCCUUCGUGGUUGGGAUUGGGGACUGAAAUGAUCCCCAUGAACCAGGAAUCCCUAGUAGGCGCAAGUCACUAGCUUGCGUCGAUUACGUCCCUGCCCUUUGUACACACCGCCCGUCGCUACUACCGAUUGAAUGAUUUAGUGAGAACUUCGGACGGACUUGUCGGGCGGACUUCGGCUCUGCUUCGGCGAGACUGAAAGAUGUUCAAACUUGAUCCUUUAGAGGAAGUAAAAGUCGUAACAAGGUUUCCGUAGGUGAACCUGCGGAAGGAUCAUUA